GCGGCCGCUGGGAGCGGGGUUCGAUCCCGUGAUGCCGCGUGGGUGCCGGCCAGAGAAGAGCUCCGGAGGCCGGGGCGGCCGGCGGGCGUGCGAAUGUCAUCUUUCCCAACAAGUUGUUCCCAGCAGAAUCCUCUCUCCUGGCACAAAACAAGCAGAUGAAGAGCAGCCCUGAGAGGUAGACACAGCGGAGAUUUUUUUCACCCGCAUUGUACAGAAGAGAAAAUGAAGCUUUGCCCAACCUGCAGGAGAUCCCCUCACCUUGCAAAAGAGCCAAGCUGUGGGAUCUUCAGUCCCUGGACCAUUUAGCUUGACUAAGAGAACAGGAAUGGAGGCCAAAAGAUCUACAAAAUGCUCACACAGAGAAGAUGACAGCUUCUACAAAUAAAUGUCAAUCAGUUCAUUUCCCC
RNAcentral lists this long non-coding RNA (407 nucleotides) under Homo sapiens (human). RNAcentral describes it as "NDST1 antisense RNA 1 (NDST1-AS1)". Lineage: Eukaryota; Metazoa; Chordata; Mammalia; Primates; Hominidae. The record is from RNAcentral.